GAAUGUAGAGGCUGCGGCAAUCAUCAGUAGCAUUUCAGAUGAGCUCCCGCUCGGAUGAAGAAAUGUAAAAGGGAAAGCCGCCGAAGCUGAUCGGUUUGGGAGAGCCGUGAUGCUGGGACUCAGGUUAAGAGCCUGAGGACUGUCAUCUUUAGUAAAAGAUGGAGUGCUACGGUU
Molecule: non-coding RNA, 174 nt
Filed under: uncultured Eubacterium sp.
Lineage: Bacteria; Bacillati; Bacillota; Clostridia; Eubacteriales; Eubacteriaceae
Description: Lysine riboswitch
Rfam family: Lysine riboswitch aptamer
About the family: Riboswitches are metabolite binding domains within certain messenger RNAs that serve as precision sensors for their corresponding targets. Allosteric rearrangement of mRNA structure is mediated by ligand binding, and this results in modulation of gene expression.
Source: RNAcentral